RNAcentral lists this transfer RNA (55 nucleotides) under Desulfuromonadales bacterium C00003094. RNAcentral's name for it is "tRNA-Leu". It matches the Rfam family "tRNA", at positions 21 to 71 of the family's 71-position model. From Rfam's summary of the family: Transfer RNA (tRNA) molecules are approximately 80 nucleotides in length. The record is from RNAcentral. Lineage: Bacteria; Pseudomonadati; Thermodesulfobacteriota; Desulfuromonadia; Desulfuromonadales.
GAGCGCAUCCUUGGUAAGGAUGAGGUCAUCGGUUCAACUCCGAUUGUGGGCUCCA